AGGGCAGUGGCUCAAUUGGUAGAGUAGCGGACUCCAAAUCCGUUGGUUGGGGGUUCGAGUCCCUCCUGCCCUG
This 73-nucleotide transfer RNA is filed under the name Bdellovibrionales bacterium. RNAcentral describes it as "tRNA-Trp". It matches the Rfam family "tRNA". Rfam says of the family: Transfer RNA (tRNA) molecules are approximately 80 nucleotides in length. Their secondary structure includes four short double-helical elements and three loops (D, anti-codon, and T loops). Lineage: Bacteria; Pseudomonadati; Bdellovibrionota; Bdellovibrionia; Bdellovibrionales. The record is from RNAcentral.